GACGAACGCUGGCGGCGUGCUUAACACAUGCAAGUCGAACGGAAAGGCCCUGCUUUUGUGGGGUGCUCGAGUGGCGAACGGGUGAGUAACACGUGAGUAACCUGCCCUUGACUUUGGGAUAACUUCAGGAAACUGGGGCUAAUACCGGAUAGGAGCUCCUGCUGCAUGGUGGGGGUUGGAAAGUUUCGGCGGUUGGGGAUGGACUCGCGGCUUAUCAGCUUGUUGGUGGGGUAGUGGCUUACCAAGGCUUUGACGGGUAGCCGGCCUGAGAGGGUGACCGGCAACAUUGGGACUGAGAUACGGCCCAGACUCCUACGGGAGGCAGCAGUAGGGAAUAUUGCACAAUGGGCGGAAGCCUGAUGCAGCAACGCCGCGUGCGGGAUGACGGCCUUCGGGUUGUAAACCGUUUUCGCCUGUGACGAAGCGUGAGUGAAGGUAAUGGGUAAAGAAGCACCGGCUAACUACGUG
Molecule: ribosomal RNA, 468 nt
Filed under: uncultured bacterium
Lineage: Bacteria
Description: partial 16S ribosomal RNA
Rfam family: Bacterial small subunit ribosomal RNA
Source: RNAcentral